AACGCACAUUGCGCCCGCCAGUAUUCUGGCGGGCAUGCCUGUUCGAGCGUCAUUUCAACCAUCAAGCGCCUCGCUUGUGUUGGGGCCCUGCGGCUGCCGCAGGCUCCUAAAUCCAGUGGCGGGCUCGUCGUGGUACCGAGUGCAGUAAACAUCCUCGCUCAGGGAACCCGACGGGUGCCGGCCGUGAAACCCCCCCUCCUUAAGGUUGACCUCGGAUCAGGUAGGAAUACCCGCUGAACUUAA
This 243-nucleotide unclassified non-coding RNA is filed under the name uncultured Lasiosphaeriaceae. Its description in RNAcentral is "sequence contains ITS2". The stretch from base 1 to 52 matches the Rfam family "5.8S ribosomal RNA", at positions 103 to 154 of the family's 154-position model. The record is from RNAcentral. Lineage: Eukaryota; Fungi; Ascomycota; Sordariomycetes; Sordariales; Lasiosphaeriaceae.